AGUCCAGAAGGUAUUAGAUUGCAAAUCUGAGAGUGGGUAGGAUUACCCCUGGGCUU
This 56-nucleotide transfer RNA is filed under the name Varanus griseus griseus. Its description in RNAcentral is "tRNA-Cys". The record is from RNAcentral. Lineage: Eukaryota; Metazoa; Chordata; Lepidosauria; Squamata; Varanidae.